AACGAACGCUGGCGGCAGGCUUAACACAUGCAAGUCGAACGCCCCGCAAGGGGAGUGGCAGACGGGUGAGUAACGCGUGGGAAUCUACCCAUCCCUACGGAACAACUCCGGGAAACUGGAGCUAAUACCGUAAACGCCCUACGGGGGAGAGAUUUAUCGGGGAUGGAUGAGCCCGCGUUGGAUUGGCUAGUUGGUGGGGUAAAGGCCUACCAAGGCGACGAUCCAUAGCUGGUCUGAGAGGAUGAUCAGCCACAUUAGGACUGAGACGCAGCCCAAACUCCUACUGGAGUCAGCAGUGGGGAAUAUUGGACAGUGGGCACAAGCCUGAUCCAGCCAUGCCGCGUGAGUGAUGAAGGCCUUAUGGUUGUAAAGCUCUUUCGCCGAUGAAGAUAAUGACGGUAGUCGGAGAAGAAGCCCCGGCUAACUUCGUGCCAGCCGCUGCGGUAA
Molecule: ribosomal RNA, 447 nt
Filed under: uncultured bacterium
Lineage: Bacteria
Description: partial 16S ribosomal RNA
Rfam family: Bacterial small subunit ribosomal RNA
Source: RNAcentral